UGGGUCGGAGUCGGCGGCGCGGAGUCGCUUACUGUACCAGCACCUCGCUAGCUCUAAGGAGGUGGCUGGGCCACUCCAGGAAGCUCGACAUCUAAUAACAUAAACUCAGAGGGCUCCCCACAUUCAUCUUCUACACAGACCCGCCUGUCCUGCCAACGGGCCAGUGCUUCGUGACUCUCCUCAUGCUCCGGAGGGCUGCGUGGUCACCCUUCUAGUUGUUUUUUGAACCCAUCCCAAGCUUGUGUCAAAAACGCGGGUGAUGGAUUCCCCGUGCCAUCAGCGCGAGCCAUGGAAUAGAAUAUAUCACACAUUUACGCCACAUGGGCUGGUAAACAACACAGCGUGUACUCGACUUCAUAAACACGCUGCCUUGUUACAAAGACCGCUGCAAAUGCAGUGUGAUAGGACUUGACCUUAAAAGCUAUCGACAAUCUAGCCCAGCACAGACGGUUUCGUGGAGUACAAUCACUUCCUGGAAUUCUUGGGCCAGCGAAGUCGGAGCCGAGCAAAUCCUGUUUUCCUUGCAUUGUUUCCUGCAUGUGAAUAUCAUCAGUCUACCAGGGCAAAAGGCCUGCGUUUUCAAAAUACAGAAGUCGCCUCACCUGGUGAAUUUUUACGGAACUCCUAGCAAGGGAAUGCAGUUGAAGAAUCGAAUAAGUGAUGAUGUGUCGAGAACAUGACCGGAAUCAGCUUGACCAAGAUUCAGAAAGUUACAUGGAGCUUCAUGUAUGACAGAUGUUCCCUGAGAUAAUCUGGCAAUGAAUACAGAUUCGGGGCUGACAUAGAAGGCACAAACAUACUUGGAAUAAGAUAACUGCAACUGAGGACAAUGGAAGUAAUAUGAAUAUUCUCUUUUCCUUAAAGUGUUUGACAUAGUAUCUGUUAGUUUAAGAACUUGGGUGGCUCCUUUCUGACGUUUUGGCUAUUUCAAAUAAAAAUACAACUCUGAAGAGUCCUUGCAAUGACACGGUCUCCGUGUCUGUUCUGCAUAGUUUCAUCAUUACAACUGCUAGCUAUAGGCUGAAAAAUUAUUGUCAGUUUUUUUUCUCCUUUUCAUUAAACCACAUCUGGAACAAGAAUAAACAAAUAUCUUUGCACAGUGAUGAAUUGGAUCUCAUUUUGGCUGAUUCAGGCCUGGGCGAUGGCUCUCAAAUUCUUGCCUUUGAGUCUGAACCUGUUGAGUCAUCAGAAACCAGCCAUGCCAGGGUGCUAGAUGCUGGUGGAGUGGAAAUUCAAGGCCACUGAAGGACCCAGAGCAAGAAAAUAUUAUGUUCUGGGUUACCUGGGAGAUGAGCACAUUUCAACUUGCCUACACAUGCAUGAAAAGAAAAUAGGAGGUCUUUCAACUCCUUCACAAAUCUCUCUCCUGGUCAUGAGAAAUCAAAGACCAUGGAUGACACCGGUUAGGGUCAAGUUUUCUCAAACUCACAUGUUAGCCCAGCCCCGGGUUCAAUAGAGGGAGGAAUAAUCGU
Non-coding RNA from Myodes glareolus (Bank vole), 1472 nucleotides. The record is from RefSeq and is a predicted model, not a curated record. NCBI's taxonomy places the organism in Eukaryota, Metazoa, Chordata, Mammalia, Rodentia, Cricetidae.